Molecule: non-coding RNA, 89 nt
Organism: Truncatella angustata
Lineage: Eukaryota; Fungi; Ascomycota; Sordariomycetes; Amphisphaeriales; Sporocadaceae
Source: the annotation of a RefSeq genome assembly
UCCCAUGUCGUCUAGUGGUUUAGGAUCCUACGUUUUCAAGAACUCAUUAGAGAACCGUAGUGGCCAGGGUUCAAACCCCUGCAUGGGAG